This 278-nucleotide long non-coding RNA is filed under the name Fukomys damarensis (Damara mole-rat). RNAcentral describes it as "lncRNA (ENSFDAG00000026822.1)". Lineage: Eukaryota; Metazoa; Chordata; Mammalia; Rodentia; Bathyergidae. The record is from RNAcentral.
CAGGGAUCCUCCUGCCUCAGCCUCCUGAGUGCUGGGACUACAGGUGUGCACCCCCACAGACUACACUUCUGUCUCACAGGCAGAUCCUGUCAGUGGUGUUUAACCAGGAUGGAGGCGUGGUGAUCAGCAGGAGUGGACAGGUCAUCAGGGAGUGGACAUGGCCCACGAAGGGGUUACUGAGGACCCCAUGGAAAUUGGGGUGAACAGGUUCAUCACAGUGAGGAUUUCGGGGCACUUUGCCAUCACCUUGGCCUACAGAUGCCAUCGCCAGAGCCUGA